AUGCAUGUUUUGGUCCAGUGCCCGUUUUUGUCCUCUUUCUAGGAAUAUAGAAAGAGGACAAGCAUAAACAUGCUAGAUUAACACAAACAUUUGGGAGUUAACAGGGCCACCAGUCUCUCAAGGUCAGGCUGAGUUGGUAGUAUAAUACUCCCACAAUC
Molecule: small nucleolar RNA, 158 nt
Organism: Melanotaenia boesemani (Boeseman's rainbowfish)
Lineage: Eukaryota; Metazoa; Chordata; Actinopteri; Atheriniformes; Melanotaeniidae
Product: small nucleolar RNA U109
Exons: 1
Source: RefSeq, a predicted model, not a curated record